CUUGACAGAAUUUUGGGCUAGCCAAAAUGAUCCCGCUGUCGAUUCAAGUUCGCAACCGAAGGAGAUAAAAGUGUCGUUACCGAUUAAUUAAGGCUGCGUUUGCCUUUCGCCUCACUUCUUAAGACCAGAACAUUUCUGUAGAGUAAAUCGGACAUUUAUUGUCAGAACGGGUCGACUUAUUGCUUGCGUUUGUUCAGAGUACAUUGGAAGAGCAACUCGGGAAGAAGAAGAAAAAAAAAAUGAGGGCGGGACUGAUUAUUUCUCAAAAUCAUUCAGUGUCACCGUUGAUCACGUGCCAGGACUCAUUCUGGUCUCGCGAUGUCAAAAUGUGACUAGCGCGAUGACGAGGAUUCAAUUAGGAAUUUAUUGGCCCCAACAGC
Long non-coding RNA from Hippocampus zosterae (dwarf seahorse), 380 nucleotides. RefSeq lists it as uncharacterized. Lineage: Eukaryota; Metazoa; Chordata; Actinopteri; Syngnathiformes; Syngnathidae. The record is from RefSeq and is a predicted model, not a curated record. The transcript has 2 exons.